This 386-nucleotide ribosomal RNA is filed under the name uncultured bacterium. Its description in RNAcentral is "bacterial SSU rRNA". It matches the Rfam family "Bacterial small subunit ribosomal RNA", at positions 29 to 416 of the family's 1533-position model. The record is from RNAcentral.
AUUGAACGCUGGCGGCAUGCUUUACACAUGCAAGUCGAACGGUAACCGGCCUUCGGGUGCUGACGAGUGGCGAACGGGUGAGUAAUGCAUCGGAACGUGCCCAAUCGUGGGGGAGUAACGUAGCGAAAGUUACGCUAAUACCGCAUAAGCCCUGAGGGGGAAAGUGGGGGACCGCAAGGCCUCACGCGAAUGGAGCGGCCGAUGUCAGAUUAGCUAGUUGGUGGGGUAAAGGCCUACCAAGGCGACGAUCCGUAGCUGGUCUGAGAGGACGACCAGCCACACUGGAACUGAGACACGGUCCAGACUCCUACGGGAGGCAGCAGUGGGGAAUUUUGGACAAUGGGGGGCAACCCUGAUCCAGCCAUUCCGCGUGAGUGAAGAAGGCC